RNAcentral lists this transfer RNA (73 nucleotides) under Ovis aries (sheep). It matches the Rfam family "tRNA". Rfam says of the family: Transfer RNA (tRNA) molecules are approximately 80 nucleotides in length. Their secondary structure includes four short double-helical elements and three loops (D, anti-codon, and T loops). Lineage: Eukaryota; Metazoa; Chordata; Mammalia; Artiodactyla; Bovidae. The record is from Rfam by way of RNAcentral.
UUGUUGGUAGCUCAGCUGGUAAAGCAUCCGCCUGCCAUGCGGGAGACCCCAGGUUGAUCUCUGGGUCAGGAAU